CUGACCCCAUGCCGAACUCAGAAGUGAAACGCCGUAGCGCCGAUGGUAGUGUGGGGUCUCCCCAUGCGAGAGUAGGGAACUGCCAGGC
RNAcentral lists this ribosomal RNA (88 nucleotides) under Citrobacter freundii. Lineage: Bacteria; Pseudomonadati; Pseudomonadota; Gammaproteobacteria; Enterobacterales; Enterobacteriaceae. The record is from RNAcentral. RNAcentral also lists the same sequence under 121 other names.